Molecule: small RNA, 152 nt
Filed under: Helianthus annuus (common sunflower)
Lineage: Eukaryota; Viridiplantae; Streptophyta; Magnoliopsida; Asterales; Asteraceae
Description: Bacterial large subunit ribosomal RNA
Rfam family: Bacterial large subunit ribosomal RNA
Source: RNAcentral
CUGAGAUUGGCUUUGGGCCUUUCCUGCACAGCUUAGGUGGAAGGCGAAGAAGGCCUCCUUCCAGGGGGUUCGAGCCAUCAGUGAGAUACCACUCUGGAAGAGCUAGACUUCUAACCUUGUGUCAGGACGUACGGGCCAAGGGAUAGUCUUAG